This 830-nucleotide long non-coding RNA is filed under the name Homo sapiens (human). RNAcentral describes it as "HSALNT0297570". The record is from RNAcentral. Lineage: Eukaryota; Metazoa; Chordata; Mammalia; Primates; Hominidae.
AGGCCAGCUCCCGUUCCAACACCUCUACCUUAGGGACAUCUGCAGAAAGGCUGGGCAGUGGCAAAAAAGGUAGCCAGUGAAAGGAGGGCUGAUAGACAGGUGCUUGGCCUCAAGAGCCCUGAAUCUGAGCCUCAUCACUCCCUCUGUCUUACUGCAGGGGGCCUUGGAAAAAUGGCCAAUCUCUUAGACCCUCACUUUUAUCAUCUGUAAAAUGGCACUGAGGCGUCCUGUCCUUCUGACUCCUCUGGUUAUGCUAGGAAGCUGAUAAAGACAUGGGCGUCAAAGCAUGAGGCAGAGCAUAAAAGUCACUGACUGAGGGCAUCCCUGCUACUUUGUGAAAGGAACAGGAGGGUAAGGAAGGAGACACAGGGAAAGGACAAGGCAGGUGAGAACGAGUGUCCAGACCUGGGGAUUCCAGACUAAGAACAAGGGCAACAGGAGCAGUGGGGAGAGAUGCAAAACAGACCUGAUCUUAGGAUGCUGGGAAAACUCCCCAGGAGGCGGUGCAGCUCCCUAAGUCGAGCUGACUCCCACAAAGAUCCUCCCCAGGAGGAAGAGUAGUGCCCUGGCAGGGAGCUGGAGCAAUGGAGCUCUCUUGAGGAGGCAGAGGGUAGCAAGAGCACAUAGAGAAGGAUGAGGAUGAGACCGGCCCUCUCUCACCUUCCCACAGGACAGACCGAUCACUCCCUCACCCAGCCCAGGGGCCAGAACACGAGAAAGAGUAUUCAGUGACUGAGGCACUCCUCUGCCCCCUCUGGAGAAGGAAGAGAGGACAGGGUCCCUUCCAGGCUUUGAGAAGGUCAAAGCUCAAGAAGAUCUGAGGUUAUCUA